AGAGUUUGAUCCUGGCUCAGGAUGAACGCCCGUGGUGUGCCUAAUACAUGCAAGUCGUACGCACUGGCCCAACUGAUUGAUGGUGCUUGCACCUGAUUGACGUUGGAUCACCAGUGAGUGGCGGACGGGUGAGUAACACGUAGGUAACCUGCCCCGGAGCGGGGGACAACAGCCGGAAACGGCUGCUAAUACCGCAUAAGCCUGCGGGGCCGCAUGGCCCGGCAGGAAAAGCUGCGGCGGUACAGGAUGGGCCCGCGUCUGAUUAGCCAGUUGGCGGGGUAACGGCCCACCAAAGCAACGAUCAGUAGCCGGCUUGAGAGAGCGAACGGCCACAUUGGGACUGAGACACGGCCCAAACUCCUACGGGAGGCAGCAGUAGGGAAUCUUCCACAAUGGACGAAAGUCUGAUGGAGCAACGCCGCGUGAGUGAAGAAGGGUUUCGGCUCGUAAAGCUCUGUUGGUAGUGAAGAAAGAUAGAGGUAGUAACUGGCCUUUAUUUGACGGUAAUUACUUAGAAAGUCACGGCUAACUACGUGCCAGCAGCCGCGGUAAUACGUAGGUGGCAAGCGUUGUCCGGAUUUAUUGGGCGUAAAGCGAGUGCAGGCGGUUCAAUAAGUCUGAUGUGAAAGCCUUCGGCUCAACCGGAGAAUUGCAUCAGAAACUGUUGAACUUGAGUGCAGAAGAGGAGAGUGGAACUCCAUGUGUAGCGGUGGAAUGCGUAGAUAUAUGGAAGAACACCAGUGGCGAAGGCGGCUCUCUGGUCUGCAACUGACGCUGAGGCUCGAAAGCAUGGGUAGCGAACAGGAUUAGAUACCCUGGUAGUCCAUGCCGUAAACGAUGAGUGCUAAGUGUUGGGAGGUUUCCGCCUCUCAGUGCUGCAGCUAACGCAUUAAGCACUCCGCCUGGGGAGUACGACCGCAAGGUUGAAACUCAAAGGAAUUGACGGGGGCCCGCACAAGCGGUGGAGCAUGUGGUUUAAUUCGAAGCAACGCGAAGAACCUUACCAGGUCUUGACAUCCAGUGCAAACCUAAGAGAUUAGGUGUUCCCUUCGGGGACGCUGAGACAGGUGGUGCAUGGCUGUCGUCAGCUCGUGUCGUGAGAUGUUGGGUUAAGUCCCGCAACGAGCGCAACCCUUGUCAUUAGUUGCCAUCAUUAAGUUGGGCACUCUAAUGAGACUGCCGGUGACAAACCGGAGGAAGGUGGGGAUGACGUCAAGUCAUCAUGCCCCUUAUGACCUGGGCUACACACGUGCUACAAUGGACGGUACAACGAGAAGCGAACCUGCGAAGGCAAGCGGAUCUCUUAAAGCUGUUCUCAGUUCGGACUGUAGGCUGCAACUCGCCUACACGAAGCUGGAAUCGCUAGUAAUCGCGGAUCAGCACGCCGCGGUGAAUACGUUCCCGGGCCUUGUACUCACCGCCCGUCA
This 1427-nucleotide ribosomal RNA is filed under the name uncultured bacterium. Its description in RNAcentral is "bacterial SSU rRNA". It matches the Rfam family "Bacterial small subunit ribosomal RNA". The record is from RNAcentral.